This is a long non-coding RNA of Helianthus annuus (common sunflower), 1354 nucleotides long. RefSeq lists it as uncharacterized. The record is from RefSeq and is a predicted model, not a curated record. NCBI's taxonomy places the organism in Eukaryota, Viridiplantae, Streptophyta, Magnoliopsida, Asterales, Asteraceae. The transcript is spliced from 3 exons.
CGAUUAACAAAAGUUUAAAGCGACAAUAAAUAGUGGUUAAGACGCAAAUUAACUUAAUUAGGCAUUUGGAGUGCCCAGGGACGUCUAUCCGACUUUACAGUACGCGUAUGAAGAUUCGCGUGGAAUCUGCAACAACGAACUGAUACCGUGCAAAAUACUGACAACGCCGACAAAUACGGAUUUUCUACGAAUAUUUUAUAAAUAUAAUUUUAUGAAUGUAUUGGGUUUCUGUGCGACACAAACGCAAACGUGAACUAAAAACGCGAUAGCAGGAAACGCAUCGGCAACGAAACGGAAGCGACAGAGGCGCUUGUCACCUUCAGAACUUACAUUUUACGCUAUAUUUAGCUCCGUAAUGGAAUUUUAGUAGUUACAGUCGAAAUCGGAUCGAAAAACGAAUUAGAAACGACCUCUUGAGCAAAUUUCACGAUUUUAACGCAACGGACGAACGAACGCGUCAACCGUCAACUUCCGACGCUAUUUUACAUAUCCUCGAUCCUAAAAUGACAUUGUACGACAUUACACGACGUUCCGGUGCAAAACGAGCUUUAGAAACGAGAUCGGGGGGUUCAAAAUGCUAGAAACGGGCUUGUGGGCCUUGUGCCCAAGCCCACAAAACCUUCACUAUAUAAAGGGUUUUACCCCUAAAAUCUUUCAUUUUCAUCUAAACUUUCUCUCUCUAACCCUCAAAUCCUCUCAACUCUCUCUCUCUAGAAACAAGUCCGGCGAGAAUUCCGGCCGACUUCCGGCGGAGAUCUGGCGACCGGCGACUUUUCCGGUGGAGUUCCGGCGACCGACGAUUUUCCGGCGAAUUUUCCGGCGGCCGUUUUUCGGCCAAGAGUACACUUUUUCGACUAUAUCCGACGUUCCGGAUCGCGUGGUGAGAUGCUUAGAUCGGGACUUGAGGAGCAUUUCUGCAAAUUUUCAAGAAAUUUUAUUCUCCGGCGAAAUUCCGACUUCUGACAUGGUUUUGGCGAGGUUCCAGCCGUCCGUUUUCGACGAAAAUUAUAUUUUUGGGCUCCUAAUGACCCGUAGAGUCCAUACGAAACACUUUCGUCUCGGGUGAAAAUUUAAGUUCGGGACGCUCUCGGGCUCGGGUCAACACGGUCAACAGGUCAAACACGGGUCAAGAGGCAGUUUUGGGUCAUUUUUAGUGCCUCGGUUCAGUUUCGGGUCCGGUCAACCCUGGUCAACACGGGUCAAACGUGGUCAAAGCUGGUCAAAGGUGGUCAAAGCUGCUCAAAUUCAGUCAACUGCUGGUCAACGCAGUCAACUCAGUCAACACGAAGCUCGGAAUGCUAUAGUUGCACGCUAGCUACUUCACAUUCUUGGAACGACACUACAGAAUCACGUU